This 928-nucleotide ribosomal RNA is filed under the name uncultured bacterium. RNAcentral's name for it is "bacterial SSU rRNA". It matches the Rfam family "Bacterial small subunit ribosomal RNA", at positions 439 to 1397 of the family's 1533-position model. The record is from RNAcentral.
UGAAGGAAUAGGAAGGAAUGUACUUCCAGAAUAGUCUCGGCUACUACGUGCCAGCAGCCGCGGUAACACGUAGGAGGCAAACGUUAUCCGGAUUUACUGGGCGUAAAGCGCGUGUAGGUGGUACUGUAAGUAGGGCGUGAAAGCUCCUGGCUCAACUGGGAGAGGCCGUUCUAAACUACAGAACUAGAGGAUGGUAGAGGGAGGUGGAAUUCCAGGUGUAGCGGUGGAAUGCGCAGAUAUCUGGAGGAACACCGGUGGCGAAGGCGGCCUCCUGGACCAUUCCUGACACUCAGACGCGAAAGCUAGGGUAGCAAACGGGAUUAGAGACCCCGGUAGUCCUAGCCCUAAACGAUGUAGACUAGGCGUCGGAAGCUUAAUCGCUUUCGGUGUCCAAGCUAACGCGAUAAGUCUACCGCCUGGGGACUACGGCCGCAAGGUUAAAACUCAAAGGAAUUGACGGGUCCCCGCACAAGCAGCGGAGCGUGUGGUUUAAUUCGUUGCUACACGAAGAACCUUACCUGGGUUUGACAUAGCAGUGGUAGGGAAGCGAAAGCGGACCGACCCUUCGGGGAGCUGUUACAGGUGUUGCAUGGCUGUCGUCAGCUCGUGUCGUGAGAUGUUCGGUUAAGUCCGCUAACGAGCGCAACCCGCGUUGUGUGUUACAAGUGUCACACAAUACCGCCGGUAUUAAGUCGGAGGAAGGUGCGGAUGACGUCAAGUCAGCAUGACCUUUAUAUCCAGGGCUACACACACGCUACAAUGGUCAGCACAAUAGGUUGCCAAGUCGUGAGACGGAGCCAAUCCUCCAAAGCUGGCCUCAGUUCAGAUUGCAGGCUGCAACUCGCCUGCAUGAAGUUGGAGUUGCUAGUAACCGCAGGUCAGCUAUACUGCGGUGAAUACGUUCCCGGGGAUUGUACACACCGCCCGU